Molecule: non-coding RNA, 812 nt
Organism: Microcebus murinus (gray mouse lemur)
Lineage: Eukaryota; Metazoa; Chordata; Mammalia; Primates; Cheirogaleidae
Source: RefSeq, a predicted model, not a curated record
GAAAGGACAGAGCAAGGGCAGAAGAGGCAAAUCAGUAUGGCAAAGAAAACUUUUUCCUGGUGUUAACUGAGGGAGGCAUUUGUCAUGUUUCUUAUGGGAGGGGCGUGAUGGACAGUGACGAUUUCAAUUGUGGUUUUACAUAAAAUAUUCUUUUUUAUUUUUAGUUUUUUAAGAGAUAGGAUCUCACUCUGUCACUCAGGCUGUGGUGCAGUGGUGUGAGCAUAGAUCACAGCAUCAAACUACUGGGCUCAAGUGACCCUCCCACCUCAACCUCCUGAGCAGCUGGGGCUACAGAAUUUCCAGGCAGGCAUCAGACACCAGUUCACUGGGUUCCUCUCUAACAGAAGAAGAUUAAUGUAACCCGGCUGAUGGAAUUUCUGAAGAUGACUAACAAUUCUGGCAGAGCUGAUUGUAGUUAGGAGUCUUUCCUUUGGCAAGUGACUAAAGAUUGUACAGCCAGGAUUGGAAUCCAGACCUGGUGACUUCAAAUUCUGUCCUUUUAGUAUUUUGACCAAGGCUCUACCAAAGUGAACAGACUCCUUGUACUAAUACUUGGAAAUAAAUGUACUUAAGUGAUUUUCAGACACCUGAGGACCAUAGUGGAAGAGAAGAGCAGGAAGUUCUGAAAGAAGACAGUUUCAAAUAGAAAGGCAGCUGAAUUUCUGGGGCCCAAUACGAGGAGGAGGAACAAAGUAUUUGAUGGAGAAGUGGGCCGAUUUCUCUUAGCACGGUGUGCUGCCCUUGAACAUUAGACAAAAUCACUCAUGAUCAGUAUGCUCUAGAGCAGGCACCCUGACAGGUAUGCUCUGCAU